Molecule: long non-coding RNA, 2031 nt
Filed under: Ailuropoda melanoleuca (giant panda)
Lineage: Eukaryota; Metazoa; Chordata; Mammalia; Carnivora; Ursidae
Description: lncRNA (ENSAMEG00000027842.1)
Source: RNAcentral
UAUACCCACGUCAUUAAAACAAUAGCAACUUCCUUUUUGUAGCAUGUCUGCUAAUGGGUCUUUAGUUUUCUUGAGGAAAGCCUCAGAGAAAACCCAAAUGGGAAAUGUAUGACCCUAUGAACAGAAAAUACAACUUUUCCUAUUUUGGUUUUUCUCUUUAUAGUACUUCAGUUCUAAGUUCUCAGGCAUAAGUAGGGGUAGAAACUGACCUAAAGUCCAAUGUACUUUUUACUCCCCCCCAAAACAAGUAUUCUACAGGAUGAGAAAUUCAAACGAGAUAAAUAAGAAACAAGAUUUUCAGGACAUCAGUUGUGAUCAGAAAGAGGGAGUACCCUCAGUGAAUAUAAAACCUUAAUGACAGGUGUGAUGAAUUUCUGUUAAUGUAAAACUACAGACUUUUAGGUCUAAAGAAUGACAAUAAAGAUCAUCUAUUCCAACCACUUUAUUUUACAGAUGAAUAAACUCAGUGACCAGGUGAUUAAAUAACUUGCAUGAAGACGCCAGCUAUGUUGGAUUUUCUGUGGCUAGCAAAACCAUGCUUAUCAGUCCCUUGGUGUCGACAGCAGAAUAUCGCACAGUAUCUGCCAGACCUUAAGCUCCUUUUCAGAAGUUACCUUCAGUGGCUUUGCAUUAUGUCUGGCCCAUGGUUGAUGUUGAUUGAGUGGAUGAGAGACUGCCAAGGACCCUUUCUGAAAUCUGCUAAGGUUAAAAAUAAACAAUUUCUCAGUAGCAAUUGCUUGUUUUCCGAAAAGACCUAUUGUUCAGAAAGAAGCAUUGGAGAGAACUUGAACUGGCUGCAAACCCAAUCAACUAACUUGUGUCUGCUAUCAUAACCUUUCGGGACAAUGUCGAGAUGGAUUACUGGCUAAAAGAUCAUAUUCCUUGGAACUGGCCAGCCAGAAGCUUAAAUGGACGUCUGUGCCCUUGAUACACUGAAAUAAAGAUGUCAAAAUAGCCCCAUGCCCUGCCACAGUCCUUGCUCCAUGGUCAGAAAAUGGCCUGAGGAAGGCCCAAGUCCUGGCAGGGGCUCUGCUGGUCUACGCCCGAAAAAGGAAGAAACCACCAGCAGCUUUUAUCAGGUUCAGUUCAGAGUUUAAAAUAUCGUUCCCCUGUCUUUGCCCAAAAGGGGCAAUCUGAUCUUAUGAGCAAACAGCAAAAGGCAUUUUGUAUUUAAACACACACACCACACACACACACACACACACACACACACACACACACACCAAAACCCUGUUUGUUGUUGGUUUCAGUGUAACUGUUUCACAAUUAUCUUAAUUUGAAAUGCUUAAUGUUGUUAGGACAUUUUUACUUUGUUUCUGAGACAUGUAUUAAGUAAAAAUCUUUUAUGAUGUUAAGCAUUUAUCCUUGAUCUGAUUUCUGCUAAUAAUCUCAUUUGAAUAUGAAAAACAAAAGAAAAUAAGUGUUGUCUCUGCCUGGUGUCCGGUUCAAGAUAUUUGACUUUUAAAUGUUGGCCUAAAGAGAAGAGAAUGCAGUUGCUAUUUGCUGAGCCUGGAACUAUGCAAUUUGCUGUAUGUUUGCUGAACUCAUUGGUACUGCUGCCUACUUGCUACCCAUUCUCCUUUCCAGCCACUUUCUCCUUCUUUGAAAAUUUCACCAACCUGUACCUCAUUUUGGGCACAAUGAUGUGCAGAGUUUCGUCUUUCUCUUUUAUGCCACAUUUCGGGUAAAAUAAAAGUUGUAUGGAACCAGUUCACAUCUUGAACCAUUGGCAAAGAUUGACUGGUCCAAGCCCAGAGAUGCAGACUAUGUUUAAGACCAAGAAAAAAAAAUCGAGGUAGGUGCAGAUCCAGGCUCAGAGCCAAGAAGGCCAACCGUAGGCUUGAUGUGAUGAGGUAAGUUGUGAUUUAUACCCCAUAGACUCUGCUCCAAGGUCGGGGAUGUUUUUUCAUCCUGUCUUGGAUUUUCUACUAUGAGCAGGUAUCUUUGGGCCCACCUCAGGUGAGCACUCCUAGUGGGAGUAAGGGGCCAUAGGUGUUCUCUGUCAUUGACUGGAAUAGAACAAGUGCUAGG